RNAcentral lists this RNase P RNA (355 nucleotides) under Agrilactobacillus composti DSM 18527 = JCM 14202. Its description in RNAcentral is "Lactobacillus composti DSM 18527 = JCM 14202 Bacterial RNase P class B". It matches the Rfam family "Bacterial RNase P class B". Rfam says of the family: Ribonuclease P (RNase P) is a ubiquitous endoribonuclease, found in archaea, bacteria and eukarya as well as chloroplasts and mitochondria. The record is from Rfam by way of RNAcentral. Lineage: Bacteria; Bacillati; Bacillota; Bacilli; Lactobacillales; Lactobacillaceae.
AAUCUUGAGUGAUUGCGGCCUAUUGUAAUAGGCUGAGGAAAGUCCAUGCCCGCACAGGCUGCGAUGCCUGUAGUGUUCGUGCUUGGCCCAAUAAGCCAAGGCAGUUUAUAACUGACGGCAGUAAUUUUAGCUAAGGUUUCGGCUAUGUUAAAAUACUUGAAAGUGCCACAGUGACGGAGCCGCUAUAGAAAUAUAGCGGGUGGAACGAGGUAAACCCCGCGAGCGAGUAACCCAAACUUUUGGUAGGGGCGUCUUACAAAAGGAAAUGAACGACUUGUAGGAGCUAUAUUAGCAGAUAGAUGAUCACUGAAGGAAAAGCUCCCAACUUUUCUGGAACAGAACAUGGCUUAUAGAG